AACGAACGCUGGCGGCAUGCCUAACACAUGCAAGUCGAACGAGACCUUCGGGUCUAGUGGCGCACGGGUUCGUAACGCGUGGGAACCUGCCCUUAGGUUCGGAAUAACUCCCCGACAGGGGUGCUAAUACCGGAUAAUGUCUUCGGACCAAAGAUUUAUCGCCUUUGGAUGGGCCCGCGUUGGGUUAGCUAGUUGGUAGGGUAAAAGCCUACCAAGGCGACGAUCCAUAGCUGGUCUGAGAGGAUGAUCAGCCACACUGGGACUGAGACACGGCCCAGACUCCUACGGGAGGCAGCAGUGGGGAAUAUUGGACAAUGGGCGAAAGCCUGAUCCAGCAAUGCCGCGUGAGUGAUGAAGGCCUUAGGGUUGUAAAGCGCUUUUACCCGGGAUGAUAAUGACAGUACCGGGAGAAUAAGCUCCGGCUAACUCCGUG
Molecule: ribosomal RNA, 433 nt
Filed under: uncultured bacterium
Lineage: Bacteria
Description: partial 16S ribosomal RNA
Rfam family: Bacterial small subunit ribosomal RNA
Source: RNAcentral